RNAcentral lists this ribosomal RNA (926 nucleotides) under Salmonella enterica. RNAcentral's name for it is "partial 23S ribosomal RNA". It matches the Rfam family "Bacterial large subunit ribosomal RNA", at positions 711 to 1637 of the family's 2925-position model. Lineage: Bacteria; Pseudomonadati; Pseudomonadota; Gammaproteobacteria; Enterobacterales; Enterobacteriaceae. The record is from RNAcentral.
AGACCCGAAACCCGGUGAUCUAGCCAUGGGCAGGUUGAAGGUUGGGUAACACUAACUGGAGGACCGAACCGACUAAUGUUGAAAAAUUAGCGGAUGACCUGUGGCUGGGGGUGAAAGGCCAAUCAAACCGGGAGAUAGCUGGUUCUCCCCGAAAGCUAUUUAGGUAGCGCCUCGUGAAUUCAUCUCCGGGGGUAGAGCACUGUUUCGGCUAGGGGGCCAUCCCGGCUUACCAACCCGAUGCAAACUGCGAAUACCGGAGAAUGUUAUCACGGGAGACACACGGCGGGUGCUAACGUCCGUCGUGAAGAGGGAAACAACCCAGACCGCCAGCUAAGGUCCCAAAGUCAUGGUUAAGUGGGAAACGAUGUGGGAAGGCCCAGACAGCCAGGAUGUUGGCUUAGAAGCAGCCAUCAUUUAAAGAAAGCGUAAUAGCUCACUGGUCGAGUCGGCCUGCGCGGAAGAUGUAACGGGGCUAAACCAUGCACCGAAGCUGCGGCAGCGACACUGUGUGUUGUUGGGUAGGGGAGCGUUCUGUAAGCCUGUGAAGGUGUGUCGUGAGGCAUGCUGGAGGUAUCAGAAGUGCGAAUGCUGACAUAAGUAACGAUAAAGCGGGUGAAAAGCCCGCUCGCCGGAAGACCAAGGGUUCCUGUCCAACGUUAAUCGGGGCAGGGUGAGUCGACCCCUAAGGCGAGGCCGAAAGGCGUAGUCGAUGGGAAACGGGUUAAUAUUCCCGUACUUGGUGUUACUGCGAAGGGGGGACGGAGAAGGCUAUGUUGGCCGGGCGACGGUUGUCCCGGUUUAAGCGUGUAGGCUGGUUUUCCAGGCAAAUCCGGAAAAUCAAGGCUGAGGCGUGACGACGAGGCACUACGGUGCUGAAGCAACAAAUGCCCUGCUUCCAGGAAAAGCCUCUAAGCAUCAGGUAACAC